Petromyzon marinus (sea lamprey) is the source of this 867-nucleotide non-coding RNA. The record is from RefSeq and is a predicted model, not a curated record. NCBI's taxonomy places the organism in Eukaryota, Metazoa, Chordata, Hyperoartia, Petromyzontiformes, Petromyzontidae.
ACCACCACCACCACCACCCACGCCCGUCUCCCCUCUCUCCCCAUGUCCUCUCCGUCUGCACGUGGGAUCGCCACAAGCAGCCGCUCAUCGCGGGGGGCACAUGAAGCGAGUCGGCGAAGCCACCCAGUGAGUCACUGCCACGAAUCGUUAAGGUGCCCGGUUGAGCACGGAGCAGAAGUGGGGAGAGAGAGAGGAGGAGGAGGAGGAAGGAGGAGGAGGAGAGAAGACGGAAGACAAUAGCGCGUAACAUAUUGCGGGGAGUGUAGAGAGGAGAGAGAGAGGGGGGGGGGGAGAGUUAGAGAGGGAGGUGGGAGAGACGGGAGGCGAGAGGGUGAGGGGAGACAGCCAGGCGAGAGGCGCAUCGAGCGAUAUAUGCUGCAGAGAACAGACUGCCGCGUACCUAGCGACUGAGAGAGACUCGGCGACACGCAGAAGGAAGGUCCAGCAAUUAAACUGGCGGAGAGCAGAUAUAGUGAGCGACGCAGACAGACAGACACGCGUACAGGGCAACAUUGAGACUGGCAGAGAGGGAGAGAGAGAUACAAAAAAUAUCAAUCUGAGAAUAUUCAGAUACUGAGACGCGGGGAGACAUCGGGGUAGAGAGAGUACAGACACGCAGACGGACACGGAGACAGACCGACUUACAUUCAGAUCGACGGACUGACUGGGCAGGCUUUUGAGAUAUUCAGCUACGGACACAAACACACACAGGCAGAGAGACCAGACGUGUGACACACGCGGUCACUCACACGCUCUGAGACACAAACACAAGCGCUCGCGCACACACAAAGACACACACAUCCAGGCAGAGGCCAGCGGCAAACCGGGACACGCACGCCCACGGAUACACACACCGACGCAGAGAUA